This 428-nucleotide ribosomal RNA is filed under the name uncultured bacterium. Its description in RNAcentral is "bacterial SSU rRNA". It matches the Rfam family "Bacterial small subunit ribosomal RNA", at positions 30 to 464 of the family's 1533-position model. The record is from RNAcentral.
AUUGAACGCUGGCGGCAUGCCUUACACAUGCAAGUCGAACGGUAGAGUAGCAAUACUUGAGAGUGGCGAACGGGUGAGUAAUAUAUCGGAACGUGCCCAGUCGUGGGGGAUAACGUAGCGAAAGCUACGCUAAUACCGCAUACGAUCUACGGAUGAAAGCGGGGGAUCGCAAGACCUCGCGCGAUUGGAGCGGCCGAUAUCAGAUUAGGUAGUUGGUGAGGUAAAGGCUCACCAAGCCGACGAUCUGUAGCUGGUCUGAGAGGACGACCAGCCACACUGGGACUGAGACACGGCCCAGACUCCUACGGGAGGCAGCAGUGGGGAAUUUUGGACAAUGGGCGCAAGCCUGAUCCAGCAAUGCCGCGUGCAGGAUGAAGGCCUUCGGUUGGUAACGUAGCUUUGUUACGAACGAAACGGUAGAGCUCUAA